RNAcentral lists this ribosomal RNA (603 nucleotides) under uncultured fungus. Its description in RNAcentral is "eukaryotic LSU rRNA". It matches the Rfam family "Eukaryotic large subunit ribosomal RNA", at positions 23 to 641 of the family's 3401-position model. Lineage: Eukaryota; Fungi. The record is from RNAcentral.
ACCCGCUGAACUUAAGCAUAUCAAUAAGCGGAGGAAAAGAAACCAACAGGGAUUGCCCUAGUAACGGCGAGUGAAGCGGCAACAGCUCAAAUUUGAAAUCUGGCUCUUUUAGAGUCCGAGUUGUAAUUUGCAGAGGGCGCUUUGGCUUUGGCAGCGGUCCAAGUUCCUUGGAACAGGACGUCACAGAGGGUGAGAAUCCCGUACGUGGUCGCUGGCUAUUGCCGUGUAAAGCCCCUUCGACGAGUCGAGUUGUUUGGGAAUGCAGCUCUAAAUGGGAGGUACAUUUCUUCUAAAGCUAAAUAUUGGCCAGAGACCGAUAGCGCACAAGUAGAGUGAUCGAAAGAUGAAAAGCACUUUGGAAAGAGAGUCAAACAGCACGUGAAAUUGUUGAAAGGGAAGCGCUUGCAGCCAGACUUGCUUACAGUUGCUCAUCCGGGCUUUUGCCCGGUGCACUCUUCUGCGGGCAGGCCAGCAUCAGUUUGGGCGGUUGGAUAAAGGUCUCUGUCAUGUACCUCCUUUCGGGGAGGCCUUAUAGGGGAGACGACAUGCAACCAGCCUGGACUGAGGUCCGCGCAUCUGCUAGGAUGCUGGCGUAAUGGCUGU